This 253-nucleotide ribosomal RNA is filed under the name uncultured bacterium. RNAcentral describes it as "partial 16S ribosomal RNA". It matches the Rfam family "Bacterial small subunit ribosomal RNA", at positions 524 to 776 of the family's 1533-position model. The record is from RNAcentral.
UACAGAGGUCUCAAGCGUUGUUCGGAUUCAUUGGGCGUAAAGGGUGCGUAGGUGGCGCGCUAAGUCAGGUGUGAAAUUUCGGAGCUUAACUCCGAAACUGCAUUUGAUACUGGCGUGCCUGAGGACUGGAGAGGAGACUGGAAUUCAUGGUGUAGCAGUGAAAUGCGUAGAGAUCAUGAGGAAGACCAGUGGCGAAGGCGGGUCUCUGGACAGUUCCUGACACUGAGGCACGAAGGCCAGGGGAGCAAACGGG